Lytechinus variegatus (green sea urchin) is the source of this 277-nucleotide long non-coding RNA. RefSeq lists it as uncharacterized. The transcript has 3 exons. Lineage: Eukaryota; Metazoa; Echinodermata; Echinoidea; Temnopleuroida; Toxopneustidae. The record is from RefSeq and is a predicted model, not a curated record.
GUUAUAGAUCAAGCGGAGACAGAGGAGAAAUAGCAAUUGAUGACAUCUCAUUCAGUAGUGGAAAUUGUCCUCCACAAAGAUAUUGUGAUUUUGAGCAUGGUGAUUGGUGUGGAUUUGAUCAGGAUUACAAUGAUCAAGGAGAUUGGAAUGUGGAACCUAAUGAUUUCAGCUCCUUGGCCUUAACCUAUGGACCUGAUACAGAUCACACAUAUGGAACAAGUCUAGGCCAUUUCAUCUACGUGGACAGUGUUGUGAACAACGUCCAGGCCAAGGUCCG